Molecule: non-coding RNA, 185 nt
Organism: Vibrio mangrovi
Lineage: Bacteria; Pseudomonadati; Pseudomonadota; Gammaproteobacteria; Vibrionales; Vibrionaceae
Source: Rfam
AGUCCGUGUAGAGGUGCAAUCAAGAUCAGUAAACCAAGCUAGGGUGAUGCCUGUGACCUGGGUUGAAAGGCUUUUUUGCCGAAGUAAACGUGUAAUAUCGAGGCCGUUUGCUGGGGUUGUUCUCGAAUAGGGGCAACACUGCCAUAGUCUAUUUAUUUGUGUAACUAUGGAGCGCUACUGUAGGA